CCCGGGAGCUGCAGCAGGCGGCUGCAGAGGGGGCGCCUCUGCAGGAACUGGAGCGCGGUCAGGAACUAGAGCGCGGUCAGGAACAGGAGGUGGCUGCAGUGGGGGCGCCGGCCCGGGAGCUGCAGCAGGCGGCUGCAGAGGGGGCGCCUGCCCGGGAGCUGCAGCAGGCGGCUGCAGAGGGGGCGCCUCUGCAGGAACUGGAGCGCGGUCAGGAACUAGAGCGCGGUCAGGAACAGGAGGUGGCUGCAGUGGGGGCGCCGGCCCGGGAGCUGCAGCAGGCGGCUGCAGAGGGGGCGCCUCUGCAGGAACUGGAGCGCGGUCAGGAACUGGAGCGCGG
Long non-coding RNA from Brienomyrus brachyistius, 337 nucleotides. RefSeq lists it as uncharacterized. The record is from RefSeq and is a predicted model, not a curated record. NCBI's taxonomy places the organism in Eukaryota, Metazoa, Chordata, Actinopteri, Osteoglossiformes, Mormyridae. The transcript has 3 exons.